AAUGCUGGCGGUAGGCCUAACACAUGCAAGUCGAGCGAACAACCUUCAUACGGUUGUUAGCGGCAAACGGGUGAGUAACACGUGAGAAUCUACCCAUCCCAACGUGAUAACAUGGUCAACACCAUGUCAAUAACGUAUGACUCCUGCAACAGGUAAAGAUUUUAUCGGGGAUGGAUGAGCUUGCGGUAGAUUAGUUAGUUGGUAAGGGUAAAAGCCUACCAAGACAAUGAUCUAUAGCUGGUCUGGAAGGAUGGACAGCCACAUUGGGACUGAGACAAGGCCCAACCCUCUUAGGAGGGCAGCAGUGGGGAAUAUUGGACAAUGGGCGAAAGCCUGAUCCAGCCAUACCGCAUGAGUGAUGAAGGUCUACGGAUUGUAAAACUCUUUUCUUCAGAGAUCAUAAAUGAUAGUAUCUGUUGAUAUAAGCUCCGGCCAACUUCGUGCCAGCAGCCGCGGUAAUACGAGGGGAGCGAGUGUUGUUCGGUUUUAUUGGGCGUAAAGGGUAUGUAGGCGGUUUUGUAAGUCAACAAUUAAAUCUUGAAGCUUAACUUCAUUAGCGGUUGUUGAUACUGCAUAACUAUGAACUUAAUAGGGGUGAACACAAUUCCAAGUGUAGAGGUGAAAUUCGUUGAUAUUUGGAGGAGUACCAAAGGCGAAGGCAGUUCAUUGGGUUAAGUUGACGCUGAGGUACGAAAGCGUGGGGAGCAAACAGGAUUAGAUACCUGGUAGUCCACGCCCWAACGAUGAGUGCUAACAGUCGGGUAUAAAUAACAACCUGAAAGAUAUGUUUUCGAAUAUACCGAAUGGUUACAUGUUUAUAUUUGAUUGUGUAGCUAACGCGUUAAGCACUCCGCCUGGGGACUACGGUCGCAAGGCUAAAACUCAAAGGAAUUGACGGAGACCCGCACAAGCGGUGGAGCAUGUGGUUUAAUUCGAAGCUACACGAAGAACCUUACCAGCUCUUGACAUUUUUGGCUAAACAUGUUGGAAACAACAUGCCACUUACAAUAGUAAGGAUGCCUUGAACAGGUGCUGCAUGGCUGUUGUCAGUUCGUGUCGUGAGAUGUAUGGUUAAGUCCUAAAACGAACGUAACCCUUGUCCAUAGUUGCCGAAACAAAUAGGCUCUCUAUGGAGACUGCUAAUAAAAGUUAGAGGAAGGUGAGGAUCACAACAAGUCAUCAUGGCCCUUAUGGGCUGGGCUACACACGUGCUACAAUGGCAACUACAAAGAGUCGCAAUAUCGUGAGGUGGAGCAAAUCUCAAACAGUUGUCUCAGUUCGGAUUGUACUCUGCAACUCGAGUACAUGAAGUAGGAAUCGCUAGUAAUCGUGGAUCAGCAUGCCACGGUGAAUACGUUCUCGGGUCUUGUACACACCGCCCGUCACACCAUGGGAACCGAUUUUAUCCAAAGGUUCUAGAUUUAGAAUCCAAUGUAAGAUUGAUGACCGA
RNAcentral lists this ribosomal RNA (1450 nucleotides) under Candidatus Hodgkinia cicadicola. RNAcentral's name for it is "bacterial SSU rRNA". It matches the Rfam family "Bacterial small subunit ribosomal RNA". The record is from RNAcentral. Lineage: Bacteria; Pseudomonadati; Pseudomonadota; Alphaproteobacteria; Hyphomicrobiales.